Molecule: ribosomal RNA, 530 nt
Filed under: uncultured bacterium
Lineage: Bacteria
Description: bacterial SSU rRNA
Rfam family: Bacterial small subunit ribosomal RNA
Source: RNAcentral
AAUAGAUACCUGGUAGUCCACGCCGUAAACUAUGGAUGCUAGCCGUUGGCGGGCUUGCUCGUCAGUGGCGCAGUUAACGCUUUAAGCAUCCCGCCUGGGGAGUACGGUCGCAAGAUUAAAACUCAAAGGAAGUUGACGGGGGCCCGCACAAGCGGUGGAGCAUGUGGUUCAAUUCGAAGCAACGCGCAGAACCUUACCAGCCCUUGACAUGCCACGACGGUUCUCAGAGAUGAGUUCCUCCCCGCAAGGGGCGUGGACACAGGUGCUGCAUGGCUGUCGUCAGCUCGUGUCGUGAGAUGUUGGGUUAACGUCCCGCAACGAGCGCAACCCUCGCCCUUAGUUGCCAUCAUUUAGUUGGGCACUCUAAGGGGACUGCCGGUGAUAAGCCGCGAGGAAGUGGGGAUGACGUCAAGUCCUCAUGGCCCUUACGGGCUGGGCUACACACGUGCUACAAUGGCGGUGACAAUGGGAUGCGAUGGGGUGACCCUUAGCAAAUCUCAAAAAACGGUCCCCAGUUCGGAUUGCAGGCG